AGUGAACGCUGGCGGUAGGCCUAACACAUGCAAGUCGAACGGCAGCACAGUAAGAGCUUGCUCUUACGGGUGGCGAGUGGCGGACGGGUGAGGAAUACAUCGGAAUCUACUUUUUCGUGGGGGAUAACGUAGGGAAACUUCCGCUACUACCGCAUACGACCUACGGGUGAAAGCAGGGGAUCUUCGGACCUUGCGCGAUUGAAUGAGCCGAUGUCGGAUUAGCUAGUUGGCGGGGUAAAGGCCCACCAAGGCGACGAUCCGUAGCUGGUCUGAGAGGAUGAUCAGCCACACUGGAACUGAGACACGGUCCAGACUCCUACGGGAGGCAGCAGUGGGGAAUAUUGGACAAUGGGCGCAAGCCUGAUCCAGCCAUACCGCGUGGGUGAAGAAGGCCUUCGGGUUGUAAAGCCCUUUUGUUGGGAAAGAAAAGCAGCAGGUUAAUACCCCGCUGUUCUGACGGUACCCAAAGAAUAAGCACCGGCUAACUUCGUG
Molecule: ribosomal RNA, 492 nt
Filed under: uncultured bacterium
Lineage: Bacteria
Description: partial 16S ribosomal RNA
Rfam family: Bacterial small subunit ribosomal RNA
Source: RNAcentral